UAUGGCUCAGAUUGAACGCUGGCGGCGUGCUUAACACAUGCAAGUCGCGCGUGAAAGGACUUCGGUCCGAGUAAAGCGGCGCACGGGUGAGUAACGCGUGGAUGAUCUACCCAUGAGUUAGGAAUAACGGCUGGAAACGGUCGCUAAUACCAAAUACGCUCCGAUUUCAACUUCGGGGGAAAGGUGGCCUCUGCUUGCAAGCUACUGCUCAUGGAUGAGUCCGCGUCCCAUUAGCUAGUUGGUGGGGUAACGGCCCACCAAGGCGACGAUGGGUAGCCGGUCUGAGAGGAUGACCGGCCACACUGGGACUGGAACACGGCCCAGACUCCUACGGGAGGCAGCAGUGGGGAAUAUUGCGCAAUGGGCGAAAGCCUGACGCAGCGACGCCGCGUGAGGGAUGAAGGUCCUCGGAUCGUAAACCUCUGUCAGGAGGGAAGAACCGCCACGGUGCUAAUCAGCCGUGGUCUGACGGUACCUCCAAAGGAAGCACCGGCUAACUCCGUGCCAGCCGCUGC
This 515-nucleotide ribosomal RNA is filed under the name uncultured bacterium. RNAcentral describes it as "bacterial SSU rRNA". It matches the Rfam family "Bacterial small subunit ribosomal RNA", at positions 18 to 518 of the family's 1533-position model. The record is from RNAcentral.